GUGUCAGCCGCCGCGGUAAUACAGAGGGUGCAAGCGUUAAUCGGAGUUACUGGGCGUAAAGGGCACGUAGGCGGUCGUAUAAGUCAGUUGUGAAAUCCCCGGGCUUAACCUGGGAACUGCAGCUGAUACUGUAUGACUCGAGUCGAAGAGAGGGAAGCGGAAUUUCCGGUGUAGCGGUGAAAUGCGUAGAUAUCGGAAGGAACAUCUGUGGCGAAGGCGGCUUCCUGGCUUCAGACUGACGCUGAGGUGCGAAAGCGUGGGUAGCGAACAGGAUUAGAAACCCUCGUAGUCC
RNAcentral lists this ribosomal RNA (292 nucleotides) under uncultured bacterium. RNAcentral describes it as "partial 16S ribosomal RNA". It matches the Rfam family "Bacterial small subunit ribosomal RNA", at positions 505 to 796 of the family's 1533-position model. The record is from RNAcentral.